CAAACCUUGUCAUGCUUUUAUCAGUUUUUAUCUGACUUCUUACAUUCCAAAGGUUGCAUGCACUUGUAACCCUAUGGCUGAAUUCUGGUGAAAAUUAAGCCAAGGCUACAAAGUCUCGAGCAAGCUCACCAACAAACAAUGGCUCUUGUUAUUAUCCACUGUAAUGAUAGUUCUAACAAAAACUGAUAAAAGCAUGACAAGGUUUGAGCAUCUUCAGCCAAUAUCCAGCAGCAUUUUAGAAAGGAGAAGGGGGUGCCAUGCCCCUAAAUCGGACUCAUUGUUUGAAAGAUUACGAACUACUACUAUCUGCCUUAGUGAGAGAUUACAUUCUGAUCUUCAUGCUUGCUAAAGUAAAGAACUCAGAAUAAAAACAACUUUAAAUUACAAGUUUAGAUGCAGGUGAUUUUGCAUCUUCUUUCACAAUAUUUCCGAUUGGAGGCGAUGGUACCUCGCCGUAGAUGGACUUGAGUCUGGCAAGAGGGACCAAGGCGGCAUCGGAGUCUGCUUCAGCGAAAAGCUGUUGUUUCCAGUCCCACAUAGUCUUUUUCAAUGCUUUGUUUGAUUUUAUCAAAGAAUCCUUCUCCGCCUCCAGAGCUUCUAUGUCCUUUUGCUGGUUCACAGAUCGCACGCUUAGCACCACGAAAGAUCCUACGAGGCAUACGUUUAUCAGUGUGUUGUUAUUACUGGCUCUCAUUGCUGCACCGACCAAUCUGUUUGCGAACUCCAUUUUUGGUUCCCGCUAGCUCUUGUUGCAGCGUCCUUGCUUCGCGUCGGAGCUCGAAAAUGGAGGUUUGAACCUAAAUAGUCCGUAGAAAAGUAGCGAAGGUGGAUUCAUCCAUAUCCA
RNAcentral lists this unclassified non-coding RNA (844 nucleotides) under Hevea brasiliensis (rubber tree). The record is from RNAcentral. Lineage: Eukaryota; Viridiplantae; Streptophyta; Magnoliopsida; Malpighiales; Euphorbiaceae.